This 247-nucleotide unclassified non-coding RNA is filed under the name uncultured Cortinarius. Its description in RNAcentral is "sequence contains ITS1". The record is from RNAcentral. Lineage: Eukaryota; Fungi; Basidiomycota; Agaricomycetes; Agaricales; Cortinariaceae.
UUGAAAUAAACCUGAUGGGUUGUUGCUGGUUCUCUAUGGAACAUGUGCACAUCUGUCAUCUUUAUAUCUCCACCUGUGCACACUUUGUAGACCUUGGGUAGCUUUUCUGAAUGGCUUCAUUCAGGUUUGAGGACUGACUUUUCUUUCUGUCUUGUCUCUCCUUACAUUUCCAGGUCUAUGUUUUCUUCAUAUACCCAAUCUAUGUUAUAGAAUGUAAUUAAUGGGCCUUUGUGCCUAUAAACCUAUA